UGGGGAAUUUUGGACAAUGGGCGAAAGCCUGAUCCAGCAAUGCCGCGUGUGUGAAGAAGGCCUUCGGGUUGUAAAGCACUUUUGUCCGGAAAGAAAUCCUUGGCUCUAAUACAGUCGGGGGAUGACGGUACCGGAAGAAUAAGCACCGGCUAACUACGUGCCAGCAGCCGCGGUAAUACGUAGGGUGCAAGCGUUAAUCGGAAUUACUGGGCGUAAAGCGUGCGCAGGCGGUUUGCUAAGACCGAUGUGAAAUCCCCGGGCUCAACCUGGGAACUGCAUUGGUGACUGGCAGGCUAGAGUAUGGCAGAGGGGGGUAGAAUUCCACGUGUAGCAGUGAAAUGCGUAGAGAUGUGGAGGAAUACCGAUGGCGAAGGCAGCCCCCUGGGCCAAUACUGACGCUCAUGCACGAAAGCGUGGGGAGCAAACAGGAUUAGAUACCCUGGUAGUCCAGCGCCCUAAACGAUGUCAACUAGUUGUUGGGGAUUCAUUUCCUUAGUAACGUAGCUAACGCGUGAAGUUGACCGCCUGGGGAGUACGGUCGCAAGAUUAAAACUCAAAUGAAUUGACGGGGUCAUAGCUGUUUCCU
Molecule: ribosomal RNA, 586 nt
Filed under: uncultured bacterium
Lineage: Bacteria
Description: partial 16S ribosomal RNA
Rfam family: Bacterial small subunit ribosomal RNA
Source: RNAcentral